CACGCCGUAAACGAUGGAUACUAGCUGUUCGGCGCAAGUUGAGUGGCUAAGCGAAAGUGAUAAGUAUCCCACCUGGGGAGUACGCACGCAAGUGUGAAACUCAAAGGAAUUGACGGGGGCCCGCACAAGCGGUGGAGCAUGUGGUUUAAUUCGAUGAUACGCGAGGAACCUUACCAAGGCUUAAAUGUAGAUUGACAGGUUUGGAAACAGACUUUUCUUCGGACAAUUUACAAGGUGC
RNAcentral lists this ribosomal RNA (238 nucleotides) under uncultured bacterium. RNAcentral describes it as "partial 16S ribosomal RNA". It matches the Rfam family "Bacterial small subunit ribosomal RNA", at positions 796 to 1041 of the family's 1533-position model. The record is from RNAcentral.